CCUACGGGCGGCUGCAGUGAGGAAUAUUGGGCAAUGGACGAGAGUCUGAACCAGCCAAGUAGCGUGAAGGAUGACUGCCCUAUGGGUUGUAAACUUCUUUUAUAAAGGAAUAAAACGAGGCACGUGUGCCUUUUUGCAUGUACUUUAUGAAUAAGGAUCGGCUAACUCCGUGCCAGCAGCCGCGGUAAUACGGAGGAUCCGAGCGUUAUCCGGAUUUAUUGGGUGUAAAGGGAGCGUAGAUGGGUUGUUAAGUCAGUUGUGAAAGUUUGCGGCUCAACCGUAAAAUUGCAAUUGAUACUGGCAGUCGUGAGUACAGUUGAGGUAGGCGGAAUUCGUGGUGUAGCGGUGAAAUGCUUAGAUAUCACGAAGAACCCCGAUUGCGAAGGCAGCUUACUAAACUGUGACUGACAUUGAUGCUCGAAAGUGUGGGUAUCAAACAGGAUUAGAUACCCCUGUAGUC
Molecule: ribosomal RNA, 460 nt
Filed under: uncultured bacterium
Lineage: Bacteria
Description: partial 16S ribosomal RNA
Rfam family: Bacterial small subunit ribosomal RNA
Source: RNAcentral